Magnolia sinica is the source of this 355-nucleotide long non-coding RNA. RefSeq lists it as uncharacterized. NCBI's taxonomy places the organism in Eukaryota, Viridiplantae, Streptophyta, Magnoliopsida, Magnoliales, Magnoliaceae. The record is from RefSeq and is a predicted model, not a curated record. The transcript is spliced from 3 exons.
UGCAUCUCUAGGAGGAGGCUAGGUUGCUUGGAGUUGUUUGAAUCAUAGGAUAAGGCAUCAACCUUCACGUUGCUAACCAUGUAAUCAUUGUCGAUGGUUUGUGGAACCCUACUUAUGAUCUUCGGGCUUAGGUUUGGAGGUAUGGGCAAACAAAGCCAGUUUAUGCAUAUCGUUUGAUGGCACAUGGAACUAUGGAAGAAAAAAUAUAUAAACGGCAGGUGACAAAAGAGGGACUUGCUGCAAAGGGUGGUUGAUAGGCAACAAAUACAUCGGACCAUUUUUAAGUAAGGAGGUCUUGCAUCUCUUGGAUUUGUAUUUUAAUUGAUGGGACAUAAUUAUGAUGAUCAUUUGUUAA